Ruditapes philippinarum (Manila clam) is the source of this 564-nucleotide long non-coding RNA. RefSeq lists it as uncharacterized. Lineage: Eukaryota; Metazoa; Mollusca; Bivalvia; Venerida; Veneridae. The transcript is spliced from 3 exons. The record is from RefSeq and is a predicted model, not a curated record.
ACUAUAAGAAACUUUGAUUGGUUGUAAUUUUGCUGACCAAUCAAAUCAGCUACUACAUAUGCAGAGCCACCUAUGGUUUGACUAGUGCUGCCCCUGUCAUCUUGGGGAAAUUUUGCGGCACCCAGUCAUUCUGCUGCUGCCGUUCAAGGAGUCAACAUCUGGGAAAACUUUUAAAAAAUCAAGGGUGUCAACUUCCGAAAAUUGACGGAAAGGGUCGAAAAGUUGCGCUUGCUGAAUACUACGAAUCAUCCGGGGUUUGACGGAAAAGACCGAAAAGUUAAAACUCCGCAGCCAAUCAAAUCACUGUGAAGAGUUUGCUAGAGUUCUCUUUCCUAAGUGAGCUUGGGAAAAUCCCUGUAGACGGCACUUAUUAAUACGUCACAGUUCACAACUUUGGAAAGGAUGGCAUCACAACCGCACAGCAAAAAGCGAAUUUGCUAUUAUUAUGAUGGUGACAUUGGCAACUAUUAAUAUGGACAGGGACAUCCCAUGAAACCACACCGUAUACGCAUGACACAUAAUCUUAUUCUUAAUUAUGGUCUCUACAGAAAGAUGGAAAUAUAU